This 807-nucleotide ribosomal RNA is filed under the name uncultured bacterium. RNAcentral describes it as "bacterial SSU rRNA". It matches the Rfam family "Bacterial small subunit ribosomal RNA", at positions 8 to 808 of the family's 1533-position model. The record is from RNAcentral.
AGAGUUUGAUCCUGGCUCAGAUUGAACGCUGGCGGCAUGCUUUACACAUGCAAGUCGGACGGCAGCGGGGGUGCUUGCACCUGCCGGCGAGUGGCGAACGGGUGAGUAACACAUUGGAACGUACCGGGUAAUGGGGGACAACCGGCCGAAAGGCCGGCUAAUACCGCAUACGCUCUGAGGAGGAAAGCGGGGGACCUACGGGCCUCGCGUUAUCCGAGCGGCCAAUGACUGAUUAGCUAGUUGGCGGGGUAAAGGCCCACCAAGGCGACGAUCAGUAGCGGGUCUGAGAGGACGAUCCGCCACACUGGGACUGAGACACGGCCCAGACUCCUACGGGAGGCAGCAGUGGGGAAUUUUGGACAAUGGGGGCAACCCUGAUCCAGCCAUGCCGCGUGUCUGAAGAAGGCCUUCGGGUUGUAAAGGACUUUUGUUAGGGAAGAAAAGGGAAGUGCUAAUACCACUUUUUACUGACGGUACCUAAAGAAUAAGCACCGGCUAACUACGUGCCAGCAGCCGCGGUAAUACGUAGGGUGCGAGCGUUAAUCGGAAUUACUGGGCGUAAAGCGGGCGCAGACGGUUACUUAAGCAGGAUGUGAAAUCCCCGGGCUUAACCUGGGAACUGCGUUCUGAACUGGGUAGCUAGAGUAUGUCAGAGGGGGGUAGAAUUCCACGUGUAGCAGUGAAAUGCGUAGAGAUGUGGAGGAAUACCGAUGGCGAAGGCAGCCUCCUGGGAUAAUACUGACGUUCAUGCCCGAAAGCGUGGGUAGCAAACAGGAUUAGAUACCCUGGUAGUCCACGCCCUAAACG